This 496-nucleotide ribosomal RNA is filed under the name uncultured bacterium. Its description in RNAcentral is "partial 16S ribosomal RNA". It matches the Rfam family "Bacterial small subunit ribosomal RNA", at positions 28 to 506 of the family's 1533-position model. The record is from RNAcentral.
GAUGAACGCUGGCGGCGUGCCUAAUACAUGCAAGGCGAGCGAACAGACGAGGAGCUUGCUCCUCUGACGUUAGCGGCGGACGGGUGAGUAACACGUGGAUAACCUACCUAUAAGACUGGGAUAACUUCGGGAAACCGGAGCUAAUACCGGAGAAUAUAUUGAACCGCAUGGGUCAAUAGUGAAAGACGGUUUUGCUGUCACUUAUAGAUGGAUCCGCGCCGCCUUAGCUAGUUGGUAAGGUAACGGCUUACCAAGGCAACGAUGCGUAGCCGACCUGAGAGGGUGAUCGGCCACACUGGAACUUAGACACGGUCCAGACUCCUACGGGAGGCAGCAGUAGGGAAUCUUCCGCAAUGGGCGAAAGCCUGACGGAGCAACGCCGCGUGCGUGAUGAAGGUCUUCGGAUCGUAAAACUCUGUUAUUAGGGAAGAACAAAUGUGUAAGUAACUAUGCACGUCUUGACGGUACCUAGUCAGAAAGCCACGGCUAACUACGU